Molecule: ribosomal RNA, 870 nt
Filed under: uncultured Burkholderiales bacterium
Lineage: Bacteria; Pseudomonadati; Pseudomonadota; Betaproteobacteria; Burkholderiales
Description: bacterial SSU rRNA
Rfam family: Bacterial small subunit ribosomal RNA
Source: RNAcentral
UGCAGUCGAACGGCAGCACGGGUGCUUGCACCUGGUGGCGAGUGGCGAUCGGGUGAGUAAUAUAUCGGAACGUACCUUAUUGUGGGGGAUAACGCAGCGAAAGCUGUGCUAAUACCGCAUAAUCCCUUAGGGGGAAAGCGGGGGACCGUAAGGCCUCGCGCAAUUAGAGCGGCCGAUACCUGAUUAGCUAGUUGGUGAGGUAAAGGCUCACCAAGGCAACGAUCAGUAGCUGGUCUGAGAGGACGAUCAGCCACACUGGGACUGAGACACGGCCCAGACUCCUACGGGAGGCAGCAGUGGGGAAUUUUGGACAAUGGGGGCAACCCUGAUCCAGCAAUGCCGCGUGAGUGAAGAAGGCCUUCGGGUUGUAAAGCUCUUUUGUCAGGGAAGAAACAGCAGCUCUAACACAGUCUGCGAAUGACGGUACCUGAAGAAUAAGCACCGGCUAACUACGUGCCAGCAGCCGCGGUAAUACGUAGGGUGCAAGCGUUAAUCGGAAUUACUGGGCGUAAAGCGUGCGCAGGCGGUUAUGUAAGACAGGCGUGAAAUCCCCGGGCUUAACCUGGGAAUUGCGCUUGUGACUGCAUAGCUAGAGUAUGUCAGAGGGGGGUAGAAUUCCACGUGUAGCAGUGAAAUGCGUAGAGAUGUGGAGGAAUACCAAUGGCGAAGGCAGCCCCCUGGGAUAAUACUGACGCUCAUGCACGAAAGCGUGGGGAGCAAACAGGAUUAGAUACCCUGGUAGUCCACGCCCUAAACGAUGCUGACUAGUUGUUCGGGAAUUUAUUCCUGAGUAACGUAGCUAACGCGUGAAGUCAGCCGCCUGGGGAGUACGGUCGCAAGAUUAAAACUCAAAGGAAUUGACGGGGGACC